UAAAACCCUUCACAGUGACUCAGAGCGUAGCUUCCUAGAGAAAACAAUGGCGAAUAUGCCAAUGGAUAUCGUCAACGAUGUAUUCCUUCGUCUGCCUGCUACUACACUGGUCCGAUGCCGCCUCCUCUCGAAGCCUUGCUUCUCUCUUAUCGACAGUCCCGACUUCAUCGCCUCGCAUCUCAAACGCGUUCUCGAAACCGAAGAGCACCUCAUGAUCAUACUGCGAUCGCCUCGCCUUCUACGUACGGUGUACCUCGACGCACCGGAUAAAAUCUCAGACGUCGAUCAUCCUCUGCAAGCCGGUGGUUUCACGGAGGUUUUCGGUUCGGUUAACGGCGUGAUCGGUUUAACAAACUCUCCGGUUGAUUUAGCGAUUUUCAAUCCGUCGACUCGCAAAAUCCACCGCUUACCGAUUGAGCCUAUCGAUUUCUCGGAACGGUUCAUCGCUCGCGAGAAUGUGUUUUACGGAUUAGGUUACGAUUCCGUGAGCGAUGAUUACAAAGUUGUGCGGAUGGUUCAGUCUACGCAUAAAGGCCAUGGAGUCAAGGAAAGCUGUCGCGCUUUCGAAGUCAAAGUUUUCAGCUUGAAAAGUAAUAAAUGGAAGAGAAUCCAUCUUCUCUUUGACGUUCAGAUUCUUUUUACAAAAUUAUAUUACCGUUUGCUUUACCGCCGCGGAAAUGGUGUUCUUGCUAGCAACAGGCUUCACUGGAUUCUACCUCGAAGUCGAGGAUAUAUAGCCUGGAACACCGUGAUCAGAUUUGAUCUCGCCUCUGACGAUCUUGGAAUCCUCAGGUACCCACUGGAGCUUCUCCAUGAAUAUGAUAUGGGCAUAGGUGUGUUAGAUGGCUGCCUUUGCUUGAUGUGUUACAGCGAGUUUACCCAUGUGGAUGUUUGGAUUUUGAGGAAAUAUCAAAGAAAAUGGUCUAAGUUCAUUUCGGUGCCGAAACCUGAGAUUGUGGUUUCGUUUGAAUUUGUGAGACCUAUGAUCUACUCUAAGGACAGGAGGAAGAUUUUGCUGGAGAUAAACAAUGGGAAGCUCUUUUGGUUUGAUUUGGAGAGUAAGAGUUUUGAGACGCUUGAAAUAAAGGGCUGUGAGGGUCUUCCAUGUAACGUGGAAAUUGUUGUGAGUAGCCUUGUUUUGGGAUGUAAAGGUGAUCCUCGCAGAGCUCAAGAGAAAAAGAUGGGUAACAAAAGUCUCAGGGGCGAUGGUUUUCUGUCCAAGGGAUUCAAGCUGAAGUUAUGAGCAAAGCUGGGGAACUUCAAAGCCCAAAACUUUAUAAAAGGUAAGUGUUAUGAAUCUAAUGGUCUUGAGUGUUUCCCUCAAGUUGUUAUUCUUCUUUCUUUUUCUUGAAGUGAGAUUUUCAUUAUUGGAAGUCUUAGCAAGUUGAACUUGAGUCAACAUCAUAAGGUGCAUGGCGUAGGUGGAAGAGGAAAUGGCUUGAAGCAGCUUCACCAAAUCCAUAGGUCUUAGUACUAAUUAGCUUUUAACCUCUGUAGAAGGUAUAUAUCUUAAGAGAAGACGGUGUGCUUCGGUAACUUCUUUUGAGUGUGGCAUGUUGCAAUAUAACGCUCUAGUGCUGCAUAUAUAAAAUCUAAGAAUCUAGUAAUAUUAAAAUCAGGCUGCAAAUAGUUACUGAAAGAAUUUUUGAUUUAUUCAA
Molecule: RNA transcript, 1658 nt
Organism: Brassica napus (rape)
Lineage: Eukaryota; Viridiplantae; Streptophyta; Magnoliopsida; Brassicales; Brassicaceae
Gene name: F-box protein At4g22390-like
Exons: 3
Source: RefSeq, a predicted model, not a curated record